Molecule: ribosomal RNA, 279 nt
Filed under: uncultured bacterium
Lineage: Bacteria
Description: partial 16S ribosomal RNA
Rfam family: Bacterial small subunit ribosomal RNA
Source: RNAcentral
UGCCAGCAGCCGCGGUAAUACGAAGGGUGCAAGCGUUGUUCGGAUUUAUUGGGCGUAAAGCGCGCGCAGGCGGAAUCAUAAGUCAGGUGUGAAAUCUCGGGGCCUAACCCCGAAACUGCGCCUGAAACUGUGGCUCUAGAAUUGUGGAGAGGGAUGGGGAAUUUCACGUGUAGGGGUAAAAUCCGUAGAGAUGUGAAGGAACACCAGAGGCGAAGGCGCCAUCCUGGACACAUAUUGACGCUGAGGCGCGAAAGCGUGGGGAGCAAACAGGAUUAGAUA